This 70-nucleotide transfer RNA is filed under the name Mariniradius saccharolyticus AK6. It matches the Rfam family "tRNA". Rfam says of the family: Transfer RNA (tRNA) molecules are approximately 80 nucleotides in length. Their secondary structure includes four short double-helical elements and three loops (D, anti-codon, and T loops). Further hydrogen bonds mediate the characteristic L-shaped molecular structure. tRNAs have two regions of fundamental functional importance: the anti-codon, which is responsible for specific mRNA codon recognition, and the 3' end, to which the tRNAs corresponding amino acid is attached (by aminoacyl-tRNA synthetases). tRNAs cope with the degeneracy of the genetic code in two manners: having more than one tRNA (with a specific anti-codon) for a particular amino acid; and 'wobble' base-pairing, i.e. permitting non-standard base-pairing at the 3rd anti-codon position. RNAcentral also lists the same sequence under 1 other name. Lineage: Bacteria; Pseudomonadati; Bacteroidota; Cytophagia; Cytophagales; Cyclobacteriaceae. The record is from Rfam by way of RNAcentral.
GGUCGAGUGGCCGAGUGUAAGGCAAAGGCCCGCAAUGCCUUUUACGGUGGUUCGAAUCCAUCCUCGACCU